CCUACGGGGGGCAGCAGUGAGGAAUAUUGGUCAAUGGGCGGGAGCCUGAACCAGCCAAGUCGCGUGAGGGAAGACGGUCCUAUGGAUUGUAAACCUCUUUAGGCGGGGAGCAAAGCCGGGCACGUGUGCCCGGAGGGAGAGUACCCGCAGAAUAAGCAUCGGCUAACUCCGUGCCAGCAGCCGCGGUAAUACGGAGGAUGCGAGCGUUAUCCGUAUUUAUUGGGGUUAAAGGGUGCGUAGGCGGAGUUUUAAGUCAGCGGUAAAAGGUCCGGGCGCAACCCGGGCCGGCCGUUGAAACUGGGGAGCUUGAGUGGGCGAGAGGUAUGCGGAAUGCGUGGUGUAGCGGUGAAAUGCAUAGAUAUCACGCAGAACUCCGAUGGCGAAGGCAGCAUACCGGCGCCCGACUGACGCUGAGGCACGAAAGCGUGGGGAUCGAACAGGAUUAGAUACCCCAGUAGUC
RNAcentral lists this ribosomal RNA (460 nucleotides) under uncultured bacterium. RNAcentral describes it as "partial 16S ribosomal RNA". It matches the Rfam family "Bacterial small subunit ribosomal RNA", at positions 338 to 795 of the family's 1533-position model. The record is from RNAcentral.